UACGGGGGGGGUAAGCGUUGUUCGGAAUUACUGGGCGUAAAGGGCUCGUAGGCGGCCAACUAAGUCAGACGUGAAAUCCCUCAGCUUAACUGGGGAACUGCGUCUGAUACUGGAUGGCUUGGAUCCGGAAGAGGGAUGCGGAAUUCCAGGUGUAGCGGUGAAAUGCGUAGAUAUCUGGAGGAACACCGGUGGCGAAGGCGGCAUCCUGGACCGGUAUUGACGCUGAGGAGCGAAAGCUAGGGGAGCAAACGGG
RNAcentral lists this ribosomal RNA (253 nucleotides) under uncultured bacterium. RNAcentral's name for it is "partial 16S ribosomal RNA". It matches the Rfam family "Bacterial small subunit ribosomal RNA", at positions 524 to 776 of the family's 1533-position model. The record is from RNAcentral.